Molecule: transfer RNA, 77 nt
Filed under: Neisseria flavescens
Lineage: Bacteria; Pseudomonadati; Pseudomonadota; Betaproteobacteria; Neisseriales; Neisseriaceae
Also listed under: 2 other names
Description: tRNA-Leu(tag)
Rfam family: tRNA
About the family: Transfer RNA (tRNA) molecules are approximately 80 nucleotides in length. Their secondary structure includes four short double-helical elements and three loops (D, anti-codon, and T loops). Further hydrogen bonds mediate the characteristic L-shaped molecular structure. tRNAs have two regions of fundamental functional importance: the anti-codon, which is responsible for specific mRNA codon recognition, and the 3' end, to which the tRNAs corresponding amino acid is attached (by aminoacyl-tRNA synthetases). tRNAs cope with the degeneracy of the genetic code in two manners: having more than one tRNA (with a specific anti-codon) for a particular amino acid; and 'wobble' base-pairing, i.e. permitting non-standard base-pairing at the 3rd anti-codon position.
Source: RNAcentral
GCGCUUGUGAUGGAAUUGGUAUACAAGUUGGUCUUAGAAGCCGAAUUUUGUGAGUUCGAAUCUCGCCGGGCGCACCA